UGCCACAGCCAUAUCACCCUGCAACCCAAGACUGGUUGCCCACUGAAGCUAAGCAGGGUUUAGCCUGGUCAGUACCUGGAGACCUCCUGGGAAAACUAGGUUGCUGUUGGAA
Molecule: ribosomal RNA, 112 nt
Organism: Sinocyclocheilus anshuiensis
Lineage: Eukaryota; Metazoa; Chordata; Actinopteri; Cypriniformes; Cyprinidae
Source: Ensembl